UACGGGGGGAGCAAGCGUUGUUCGGAUUUACUGGGCGUAAAGGGCGCGUAGGCGGUCGUGACAAGUCACUUGUGAAAUCUCCGGGCUUAACUCGGAACGGUCAAGUGAUACUGUCGGACUAGAGUACAGAAGGGGCAACUGGAAUUCUCGGUGUAGCGGUGAAAUGCGUAGAUAUCGAGAGGAACACCUGAGGUGAAGACGGGUUGCUGGGCCGACACUGACGCUGAUGCGCGAAAGCCAGGGGAGCAAACGGG
RNAcentral lists this ribosomal RNA (254 nucleotides) under uncultured bacterium. RNAcentral describes it as "partial 16S ribosomal RNA". It matches the Rfam family "Bacterial small subunit ribosomal RNA", at positions 524 to 776 of the family's 1533-position model. The record is from RNAcentral.